GUGAGGAAUAUUGGUCAAUGGGCGGGAGCCUGAACCAGCCAAGUCGCGUGAAGGAAGAAGGAUCUAUGGUUCGUAAACUUCUUUUGCAGGGGAAUAAAGUGCAGGACGUGUCCUGUUUUGUAUGUACCCUGAGAAUAAGGAUCGGCUAACUCCGUGCCAGCAGCCGCGGUAAUACGGAGGAUCCGAGCGUUAUCCGGAUUUAUUGGGGUUAAAGGGGGCGUAGGUGGUUUGAUAAGUCAGCGGUGAAAGUUUGCAGCUUAACUGUAGAAAUGCCGUUGAAACUGUCGGACUUGAGUGUAAAUGAGGUAGGCGGAAUGCGUGGUGUAGCGGUGAAAUGCAUAGAUAUCACGCAGAACUCCGAUUGCGAAGGCAGCUUACUAAGCUACAACUGACACUGAAGCACGAAAACGUGGGGAUCAAACAGGAUUAGAAACCAGUGUAGUCC
RNAcentral lists this ribosomal RNA (445 nucleotides) under uncultured bacterium. RNAcentral describes it as "partial 16S ribosomal RNA". It matches the Rfam family "Bacterial small subunit ribosomal RNA", at positions 354 to 796 of the family's 1533-position model. The record is from RNAcentral.